AAAACAGAGGUUUAUACUUUCGAUUUCGGCUCGAAAACAGGCUAUCAGCCCUGUUUUA
Molecule: transfer RNA, 58 nt
Filed under: Pseudoniphargus sorbasiensis
Lineage: Eukaryota; Metazoa; Arthropoda; Malacostraca; Amphipoda; Allocrangonyctidae
Description: tRNA-Arg
Source: RNAcentral